AAGUACCCGGAGGAAGAGAAAGCAAACGCGAUUCCCUGAGUAGCGGCGAGCGAAACGGGAUUAGCCCAAACCAAGAGGCUUGCCUCUUGGGGUUGUAGGACACUCUAUACGGAGUUACAAAGGAAUGAAGUAGACGAAUCGAUCUGGAAAGGUCAGUCAUAGAAGGUAACAACCCUGUAGUUGAAACUUCGUUCCCUCUUGAGUGGAUCCUGAGUACGGCGGAACACGUGAAAUUCCGUCGGAAGCAGGGAGGACCAUCUCCCAAGGCUAAAUACUACCUAGUGACCGAUAGUGAACCAGUACCGUGAGGGAAAGGUGAAAAGCACCCCGGAAGGGGAGUGAAAGAGAUCCUGAAACCGUGUGCCUACAAGUAGUUAGAGCCCUGUGUAUUUUUCCUUUGGAUAAAUACCGGGUGAUAGCGUGCCUUUUGUAGAAUGAACCGGCGAGUUACGAUUACAUGCGAGGUUAAGUUGAUAAGACGGAGCCGUAGCGAAAGCGAGUCUGAAUAGGGCGCUUUAGUAUGUGGUCGUAGACCCGAAACCAGGUGAUCUACCCAUGUCCAGGGUGAAGUCCAGGUAACACUGGAUGGAGGCCCGAACCCACGCACGUUGAAAAGUGCGGGGAUGAGGUGUGGGUAGCGGAGAAAUUCCAAUCGAACUUGGAGAUAGCUGGUUCUCUCCGAAAUAGCUUUAGGGCUAGCCUCAUGUAGUAAGAGUCUUGGAGGUAGAGCACUGUUUGGACUAGGGGCCCUCAUCGGGUUACCGAAUUCAGACAAACUCCGAAUGCCAAAGACUUAUCCAUGGGAGUCAGACUGCGAGUGAUAAGAUCCGUAGUCGAAAGGGAAACAGCCCAGACCACCAGCUAAGGUCCCAAAGUAUACGUUAAGUGGCAAAGGAUGUGGAGUUGCUUAGACAACCAGGAUGUUGGCUUAGAAGCAGCCACCAUUUAAAGAGUGCGUAAUAGCUCACUGGUCGAGUGACUCCGCGCCGAAAAUGUAACGGGGCUAAACGUAUCACCGAAGCUGUGGAUUG
This 1031-nucleotide ribosomal RNA is filed under the name Alloyangia mangrovi. RNAcentral describes it as "bacterial LSU rRNA". It matches the Rfam family "Bacterial large subunit ribosomal RNA", at positions 204 to 1209 of the family's 2925-position model. The record is from RNAcentral. Lineage: Bacteria; Pseudomonadati; Pseudomonadota; Alphaproteobacteria; Rhodobacterales; Roseobacteraceae.